GUAAUACCCCUUGUAGGUGGAUUUAAAGUAUCCCACAUCGGAAAGAGGUUGAAAGGGUGGGGGCCUUAUAAGGUCAAGCCCUAGACACCCCAGUGGACGCGUUUUGGGAAGACAGGGUAGUAAAUCCCUUGACCCAGAAACAAAACCGUGAGGGGAAGGACGCUGGGCGUGAACCCAAAGCGGACAAUAUUCACUGGUGUGGGCCCAGAGGAUGUUACAAUUGGUAUCAGAGCCUGGGCCUCAUGAGUACGGUGUGCUGAGCGAGGACGCUCAGGCCUUAUGGGGGGAAGAAUGUAAUACCCCUUGUAGGUGGAUUUAAAGUAUCCCACAUCGGAAAGAGGUUGAAAGGGUGGGGGCCUUAUAAGGUCAAGCCCUGGACACCCCAGUGGACGCGUUUUAGGAAGACAGGGUAGUAAAUCCCUUGACCCAGAAACAAAACCGUGAGGGGAAGGACGCUGGGCGUGAACCCAAAGCGGACAAUAUUCACUGGUGUGGGCCCAGAGGAUGUUACAAUUGGUAUCAGAGCCUCGGCCUCAUGAGUACGGUGUGCUGAGCGAGGACGCUAAGGCCUUAUGGGGGGAAGAAUGUAAUACCCCUUGUAGGUGGAUUUAAAGUAUCCCACAUCGGAAAGAGGUUGAAAGGGUGGGGGC
Molecule: long non-coding RNA, 650 nt
Filed under: Manihot esculenta (cassava)
Lineage: Eukaryota; Viridiplantae; Streptophyta; Magnoliopsida; Malpighiales; Euphorbiaceae
Description: long non-coding RNA (MESC_LNC005361)
Source: RNAcentral